CAAUAGCGUAUAUUAAAGCUGUUGCGGCUAAAAAGCUCGUAGUUGGAUUUCUGUCAAGGACAACUGGUCCGCCCUUCGGGUGAGCACAUAGUUUGGUCUUGGCAUCUUGUUGGAAACUGUUGCUGCACUUGGUUGUGUGGCGCAGCGUCCAGCACUUUCACUUUGAGGAAAUUGGAGUGUUUCAAGCAGGCACAUGCCUUUGGACACAGUAGCAUGGAAUAAUUAGAUUGGGCUUUUGCUCCAACUUGUCGGUUUCUGGAGCUGAGGUGAGAAUUAAUGGGGAUUGUUGGGGGCAUCCGAAUUUAGCCGUCAGAGGUGAAAUUCUUGGAUCUGCUAAAGACGGACAACUGCGAAAGCGUUUGCCCAGGAUGUUUUCAUUGA
Molecule: ribosomal RNA, 381 nt
Filed under: uncultured eukaryote
Lineage: Eukaryota
Description: partial 18S ribosomal RNA
Rfam family: Eukaryotic small subunit ribosomal RNA
Source: RNAcentral